GCGGGAUGGAGCAGUCUGGUAGCUCGUCGGGCUCAUAACCCGAAGGUCGUCGGUUCAAAUCC
RNAcentral lists this transfer RNA (62 nucleotides) under Gammaproteobacteria bacterium HGW-Gammaproteobacteria-9. RNAcentral's name for it is "tRNA-Met". It matches the Rfam family "tRNA", at positions 2 to 60 of the family's 71-position model. From Rfam's summary of the family: Transfer RNA (tRNA) molecules are approximately 80 nucleotides in length. The record is from RNAcentral. Lineage: Bacteria; Pseudomonadati; Pseudomonadota; Gammaproteobacteria.